RNAcentral lists this ribosomal RNA (457 nucleotides) under uncultured bacterium. RNAcentral's name for it is "bacterial SSU rRNA". It matches the Rfam family "Bacterial small subunit ribosomal RNA", at positions 29 to 506 of the family's 1533-position model. The record is from RNAcentral.
UUGAACGCUGGCGGCAUGCUUUACACAUGCAAGUCGAACGGCAGCACGGGGGCAACCCUGGUGGCGAGUGGCGAACGGGUGAGUAAUAUAUCGGAACAUAUCCGGGAGUGGGGGAUAACGUAGCGAAAGUUACGCUAAUACCGCAUAUGCCCUGAGGGGGAAAGUGGGGGAUCGCAAGACCUCACGCUUUCGGAGUGGCCGAUAUCGGAUUAGCUAGUUGGUGGGGUAAAGGCCCACCAAGGCGACGAUCCGUAGCUGGUCUGAGAGGACGACCAGCCACACUGGGACUGAGACACGGCCCAGACUCCUACGGGAGGCAGCAGUGGGGAAUUUUGGACAAUGGGGGCAACCCUGAUCCAGCCAUGCCGCGUGAGUGAAGAAGGCCUUCGGGUUGUAAAGCUCUUUCGGGAGGAUGAGGAAGGACGGUACUCCCGGAAUAAGUCUCGGCUAACUACGU